UACGUAGGUGGCGAGCGUUGUCCGGAUUUACUGGGCGUAAAGGGAGCGUAGGCGGACUUUUAAGUGAGAUGUGUAAUACUCGGGCUCAACUUGAGUGCUGCAUUUCAAACUGGAAGUCUAGAGUGCAGGAGAGGAGGGUGGAAUUCCAUGUGUAGCGGUGAAAUGCGUAGAUAUAUGGAGGAACACCGGUGGCGAAAGCGGCUCUCUGGCCUGUAACUGACACUGAGGCUCGAAAGCGUGGGGAGCAAACAGG
RNAcentral lists this ribosomal RNA (253 nucleotides) under uncultured bacterium. Its description in RNAcentral is "partial 16S ribosomal RNA". It matches the Rfam family "Bacterial small subunit ribosomal RNA", at positions 524 to 776 of the family's 1533-position model. The record is from RNAcentral.